This 228-nucleotide ribosomal RNA is filed under the name uncultured Desulfocapsa sp. Its description in RNAcentral is "partial 16S ribosomal RNA". It matches the Rfam family "Bacterial small subunit ribosomal RNA", at positions 1155 to 1382 of the family's 1533-position model. Lineage: Bacteria; Pseudomonadati; Thermodesulfobacteriota; Desulfobulbia; Desulfobulbales; Desulfocapsaceae. The record is from RNAcentral.
UGUCAAACCCGGAGGAAGGUGGGGAUGACGUCAAGUCCUCAUGGCCUUUAUGUCUAGGGCUACACACGUACUACAAUGGCAGGUACAAAGGGCAGCGACACAGCGAUGUGAUGCGAAUCCCGAAAAGCCUGUCUCAGUCCGGAUCGGAGUCUGCAACUCGACUCCGUGAAGUUGGAAUCGCUAGUAAUCGUGGAUCAGCAUGCCACGGUGAAUACGUUCCCGGGCCUU